Molecule: ribosomal RNA, 465 nt
Filed under: Vreelandella stevensii
Lineage: Bacteria; Pseudomonadati; Pseudomonadota; Gammaproteobacteria; Oceanospirillales; Halomonadaceae
Description: partial 16S ribosomal RNA
Rfam family: Bacterial small subunit ribosomal RNA
Source: RNAcentral
CCUACGGGGGGCUGCAGUGGGGAAUAUUGGACAAUGGGGGCAACCCUGAUCCAGCCAUGCCGCGUGUGUGAAGAAGGCCCUCGGGUUGUAAAGCACUUUCAGUGAGGAAGAACGCCUGGUGGUUAAUACCCGUCAGGAAAGACAUCACUCACAGAAGAAGCACCGGCUAACUCCGUGCCAGCAGCCGCGGUAAUACGGAGGGUGCGAGCGUUAAUCGGAAUUACUGGGCGUAAAGCGCGCGUAGGUGGCUUGAUAAGCCGGUUGUGAAAGCCCCGGGCUCAACCUGGGAACGGCAUCCGGAACUGUCAAGCUAGAGUGCAGGAGAGGAAGGUAGAAUUCCCGGUGUAGCGGUGAAAUGCGUAGAGAUCGGGAGGAAUACCAGUGGCGAAGGCGGCCUUCUGGACUGACACUGACACUGAGGUGCGAAAGCGUGGGUAGCAAACAGGAUUAGAUACCCCGGUAGUC